UACAUGGGGUGCAAACGUUGCUCGGAAUUAUUGGGCGUAAAGCGCACGUAGGCGGUUUGUUAAGUCGGAUGUGAAAUCCCUCGGCUCAACUGAGGAAGUGCAUCCGAAACUGGCAGGCUUGAGUACUAAAGAGGGUCGCGGAAUUCCCGGUGUAGAGGUGAAAUUCGUAGAUAUCGGGAGGAACACCAGUGGCGAAGGCGGCGAUCUGGGAAGAUACUGACGCUGAGGUGCGAAAGCGUGGGGAGCAAACAGG
Molecule: ribosomal RNA, 253 nt
Filed under: uncultured bacterium
Lineage: Bacteria
Description: partial 16S ribosomal RNA
Rfam family: Bacterial small subunit ribosomal RNA
Source: RNAcentral